Rhea pennata is the source of this 3213-nucleotide long non-coding RNA. RefSeq lists it as uncharacterized. NCBI's taxonomy places the organism in Eukaryota, Metazoa, Chordata, Aves, Rheiformes, Rheidae. The transcript has 3 exons. The record is from RefSeq and is a predicted model, not a curated record.
UGCGCGCCCUGCGCCCGUGCCGCGCGUCCGGCGGAGCGGUGCGGCGCGACUAGCAGCGCCGAGCGGGAGGAAACGUUAUUACUGAAACAAAGAGCGGCCUCCCUUCAAACAAAGCAUCCGGCGCCGGCGGAGCUGUCCCCGGGCCCCAGCGGCUGCCCGGCCCGUGGGCUUCCCCCUCCGAGGACGCUGGCUCCCGUGGGAAAGUGGUGAGGGCUCCGACGCCGGAUCCGGCCGGUGCGGUGCUGCCCAGAAAGGCUUUUGGGGCGUUCGGUCUUGGCAACCAGCUUCUGCUGGAGGAAGCACAAGGAAGCGUGGCCUGGCAGGUGCCGGGGAGGUGGCGGGCGCCCUGCUGUUCUCCUCUCCCCGCAGAAGAGCAGUCCCCAGCUCCAGCCACCCCGGCGCGGAGCUGGUGAACAAAGUACAGCUCGGGCAACCACCAACAGAGAUGACCAGUGUACUGUUUUGCGCCACGUGUGGUUUGAGUGUGCUGGAAGCUGGGCUUUUCCCUUGCAGGCGAAGAGGGUCUGUGACUCAAACGUCUCUGCUCUCCCCCCUCUUCGUCUGGGGUGUUUUUGUUAACAAAAGGAUACAGCAGCGUAUAGAAUCGCUGGGCAUUUUCAUAUAACCUCUGCAGGAGAUCUAGUAAGAUACUGCAAACUGUAAAAUACCAGUGUGCUUUGUGGAGGCAGAGCAGCUGAAAAAAGGAGUGUCUGGGCCGCCCGUGUUUCGCAAAGCCCCUCCUUGCUAGCCUUGUGCACUAGGAACAGCAGAGAUUGACUGAACAAGAGCAAAUAGUCCAUACAACCCUCUUCUCCCAGAUACCGCUACCUUCCCACACCACCCGCGAGGACGGUGGUCUCUGGGAGCCACUCCUAUGACACCUGUCACCUGUGUCGAGGUUGCUGCUGGGAUCAAAUUCCAACACAGCAACCCCUAGGGACGUCUCCAGCAAAGGCGUUUUUCCUUGGCUUCUUCAUGCAAGCGUGCAGGGAGCUACACCCCUUCUGACAACUUGUCCUUUGCGAUACAGUAUGCCAGGGUAGCGCAAAUGCUUUUGCCUGACUCUAACACACUUCCCCAUUUCCUACUACCCAAGCUGAUCUGCAAAGUGAAUAGGUCUCUUAAGUGCAAAAUAGAUACAGGUAGAUUAGAAAGGCAGCUAACUGAAGAGCUAUCUCCUCUGAACAGACUGGUUUAAACCAAUUACAUGCUGUAGUGCAUGCUGCCACCUACGUGUUGUGAUUCCGGCUUCUUGUGCACUGCAGUUUCGCGUUUGUAGGCAUCCUCUGCUGAAGGCAGCUACAGCACUUUGUGAGACACAGCUGCCUGCUACCCCGGGGACCACAAACACAAGCGGCUGUGGCUGUACUAGGGAACAAGGCAAAACAUUGCACACCAGUGCAGCCACUUGUUUGGUUGCAGUGAGGAUGCCUCAGUGUGGAUUAGAAACCAGCGGUCACAUCAGUGAAACGUCACAGGGUUUAAAAAAGACACCGGGCCAAAUCCCAGGCUUGGCUACAACGUAUGUAAAUCUACUGAGAAGACAUUGAAGUCAAAUGAGGUUCUCUGUAUUUGCACCCUGUAAAGGAGGUCUCAAAGGGCAGGGAUACUAGUGCCUCAUUUUGCAGAUGGUGCACAUUAGCACAAACGUACAGCAGAGGUACGUCAGAUUUCUAUCAGGAGAGGUUGCUGGAUGGAGGGAUAUCAUGUCCUGGUUUGAAGUAUCCUCAGCAAAUUCUCAUUUGUUUGAAAUUGAAAUGUAUUUAAUAUUUCUUGCUUUUUUUCAUGGGAAGAACUUGUUUCUUUUCAAUAUUUGGCUGCCAAACGGAACAUGUUUACUGGACUCAGUACCAAGGCAGGGUAAGAAUAGGGGUAGGUCUUUCCAGAACCGAGAAGAUUUUACAUAUAACCAUUAAAAUAGAAAAGCAAUCUAGGAACAAGUGGACAGCACUACAUGUAAAGAAGGAUAUGUAGGCAAGGAUGGCAAAAGGAUCCUCUGAAUAAACUCAUCACAUGAAUGAUUAGCUGAAUGCAGAUUUUGCAUAUGACACUAUAUGGGAGCAGCCUUUGGGGUUCUCCCACAUGGUAAAGGACCCUGAACUCAAAAAAGGGUGCCAGAUUUUGUGAGGGAUUUGCACAUCAGACCAUGACUUUGGACUACAGAUUUUAAGUACUACUAAAUUGGGGAACAGAACUGUUGCUAUUGCUAUUACAGACCAGCAUAUUUCACUAAUCCAUGCAAUCCACUAAAUUGCUGUAGUUUUAGCCUGUGUUUAUUUUAGAUGAGAUGAUGUCCUGGACAGUUAAUUUUUUUUCUAGUUAUCCAAUCAAAUCCUAUAUAAAUAAAAAAACAAACAAAAAUCAAAACAUGACCUGUGCUUUUUGUACACUUUCCCCCAUCACAUGAACCUGCAGAUGAUGGAGUAGCACACCAGGUGAGCAAACAAAUAAACAAAAAAGGAAAGAAAGAAAGAAAGAAAAGCUACAGCUCUUCUUGAAAAUUGGUCCCACUGGCUUUAAACAAUGCUAAAAUGUAAUUUUAGUACUACUGGUGGCCUAUUCUGCUUAUAUUCAAAGCGGCCUAGCUGUUAUGGGAUUGCCUCCACUAGUCCUUUUCUUGCAUCAGGUAAAUGAUAUAUUAACUUGAGGUGCUUAUCAAGGCUGAAAGGCUGGAAUGGACCCUUUCUGAACACCGGGGCAAGUUUAGAAAUGUUGUUUUUUUUACAUAGGUUGAUUCCUAAAGUGAGGGGCAAACCUGGAACCAAACAGCUUGGAACCAUAGCGGUCACACUGGCCUUUGCAAGAAGUCAAGUAGCUUGAGUUAAAUGGCAGGCAGCUACCUGGAAACAAAAGACUCUUGUGUUUCCAAAGGUUUACACUGUGAUUUUCAAGAGCUCCUGAGCAAUUUAAAGCCCAUGAAAGGAAUCCACUAUAGAAUGAAAAAUACAGGUAUUAUUAAAGAAUAUCUCCAAACUGAAAGCUAUCCAGUUUCAUAAAAAUGAAUUAAAAAACAAUAACAGGUACUCUGUCUCCUGCUGGAUGCUGUAGGAACCAUAUGUUUUGUAUUUUUCAAGUCACUCUUAAAACAAUGUUCUUCUGUUCGCUGUUGCUAUUGUGAAAAAACAGUAAAAACAACUAUGCAUAAAAUGAGGCUAAAGUAAUCUAAUUAAAAAAAAAAACAAUGUGUUUUCAUCUUUAAUUCAUAUCCAGUCA